RNAcentral lists this transfer RNA (74 nucleotides) under Dipodomys ordii (Ord's kangaroo rat). It matches the Rfam family "tRNA". Rfam says of the family: Transfer RNA (tRNA) molecules are approximately 80 nucleotides in length. Their secondary structure includes four short double-helical elements and three loops (D, anti-codon, and T loops). Lineage: Eukaryota; Metazoa; Chordata; Mammalia; Rodentia; Heteromyidae. The record is from Rfam by way of RNAcentral.
GGCUGUAUGGCUUAGGUGGUAUAGCACCUGCCUCGAAAGUGGGAGGCCCUGACUUACAAACCCCAGUACUGCUA